Molecule: long non-coding RNA, 337 nt
Organism: Bombus impatiens (common eastern bumble bee)
Lineage: Eukaryota; Metazoa; Arthropoda; Insecta; Hymenoptera; Apidae
Exons: 2
Source: RefSeq, a predicted model, not a curated record
AUGUGAAAUAUUCCAAGUAACUUCUGAAAUAAUAACAAUAAUGUUCAGCCUGCUGUUACUGAAUUUUAUAUCUGUUACACAGAUAUAAAUACUUAGAAACAUUAGUCAUAGAUAAAGUCCAUUCAACAGGUCGAGAUAUAGUUAAGUAUUAUUUAUUAGAGAAAUAAUAUUCAAAAUCAAUUUUUUUAAAAACAAAGCCUUGUAUGAUAAAAUUUGAUUCCUAUUUCUUAUAAAUUAUACCCUUUACAAUUGUCCCAUGUAACCUGUAAGUUACAAAAUAAAGGAUAAAAUGAGAUGAAGAAAUGAAUCUCAUAUAAUUAUUAAUAACAAAUACAAA